CGUGGUUAUCGAGAAAGGGAGGCUUCUUUCUAAGGUUUACCUUUUUCUUUCUAUUAAUGAAACCCAAGAAGAGAUAUUAUGUUCAUGUGCAUUAUUGUUUUGCAAUCCACAGGUGAAGUUUUCUAGUGGUGGUAUAUGCAAUUUGACAAAUGGGCAUCUCACAUAUACGAUUGUUAGGUUUGUUCACACAGAAAGUUUCAAACUUUAUGCUUGAAAACUGCAGAAUCAUGAAGUUUUCUCUGUAAUCAUGUGUGAAGAAUAUUGUGUCUAACGGUUGUGCUAAUUUAAUAUCAAAUUAUAUUUCUUUUACACACAUGGACCUACCAUGUCAUGGUUUUCUGAGCAUGAAGUGCCACUUAAGGUGUUGUGAAUCUCCACCAAUAUAAUCUUAGGUGAUGUUUGUGUUAUUACGCAUUUUCACCUGAUUCUAGCAUCCAACAGGUUGGUUCUGGGAUGCAUCAACAUAUUGUGGUGAUUCGAACACCACAGCAGUAAUCUCGUGAGACUGUACUCUCCACAAAUUACCGUCCAUAAAUUAUCUUCCACAUAGAUACAUGUUCAAACAAAUCACUGUCGUACAAAUUACCAUCCACAUGGUUGUUAAGGGUAUAAUCUAUAUAACGGUUAUCAUGUCAAAUUUCUUUACAGUUUCAAAUUUGUAAAAGUGGAAGUACAGCAUCAUACAUAUUAUUUGCAUUUUUUUAUUCAUAUGUCCACAAAUUACUCGUCGCUCACAAGUCGAUCCAUAAUUCCUCGUCCAUAACUUGUCAUCCACAAUUCGUCGUCCACGACUCGUCAAUGCCCAUAAAGGUAAAUUUUUCAAAAACACGCCUAGACCCCACCAGAAAAUGCCUCACAUGUGGAAAGUGAUUCUCGUUGUAAAAGAAAGACAAAAAGUGUCCUUAGGUGUAAUAAACUCAACCCAAAAUCAGUACAAUCAAACUUACACAUUUUAUUUAAACAACAUAGCAAUCCAAUGGCGUCAAGUUUUAGUGGUGCCCAUAAAACUUCUCAGAAUAAACCGGUGUCCAAGACCUCUAUUUUCGAAGUUUUAAUUAGUAAACUGUACAUUGUCCUCAACAUUAUUUAAAGUUCACUAUUUUUGCAAAGAUCUUUCUUCUCAUUUGUUGGACUCAAAUCGCCGAUGUAACUGAAAAUAACCCAAAGUUCUAAUUGUUCUCUAAGAAUGCUAAGAACUAGUUUGAGAGAGAUCAAGUCUAAUCUAACAUAAAAAUAUAUCAUAUUCACUAAGAACAAGUCACAACAGUCAUUAAGUAUCACUAGCAUCAAUUUCCGUUGGUUAAUCUAAAUUUAAGGUUUAGAUUUGAGAUUUGAUUUUGGGAGUGAGAUUAAGGAUUUAGAAAAUAUUAUUAUUUAAAAUUAUAAAAAUUUACAAUUGGUUUCAAUCAGAAUUUUGGGCUUUCGAAAUAAAAUUUAGGAAAUUUUUUUUUUGAAAAAAGAAAAAAUCCAAAAAUCCAAAAAAAUUGAGUUAAACUUUUUAUAAGAUUUUUUACUAUUUAUUUAUAUUUUUUUUUUAUUUAUAUAUAUCUAUAAAGUAAGGUAUCAAGGUCUUUUAUUUUUGGGAAAAUUAGAAAAAAAGGGACACUUAGAAGUUGGGUUUGUCCCUCUAAGAUUUUAUCUAGAUUUUUUGUUCUAUUAGAAUUUUAAUUACUGUUAAUACCAUUAUGCCCUUAGAUUUUCCAAAAUUAAAUUAAUUUAAAAUAUAACAUAUUCCUAUUUGUUUUUAAUACAAUUUCGUUAAGUUAAAAAAAAAAAACUAAAACCGAAAAAGGUGAAUACAUCGGCUAAACCUAAAUUCUUUUUGUUCCUUUCUAUUUCUUCUCUACGGAUCCUCUUCUCCUCUUCGCGUUCUUCUUCUUCUUCCUCACAUGGUUAAGUGUUCAUCUCUGUUCUUUGUUCUCAAAUCUCUAUGUUUUCUUCUCUGUUUCUUCAGCCUUGUUUUCGCUCUUCACUGUCUUCUCUCGUUGGUUCAAUUCUACACUUCGUUACUGUUUCAUCAUAAUCCUACGAUUCCUCACAUAGGGUAUGUGUUAAUUUGAUUUUAAAACCUAAUUUUUAAAAACUUAAUUUUUAUGAUUUGAUUUGUUUCUCUUUUUGUCGCUUUUCUCUCUUUCGUCUUCCUCCUUGUAUAUCAGUUUCAAGAAGUAUUGUUCUUUUCGAUUUUGACUUCUUGUUAAUUUUGUGUUUUUAUAAGUUUUGAUUGGUUUGUUUAUUUAUAUGGUUGUGAGAAAGAGAAGCUGAGAUCAUGUAGAGAGAAGAUUUCUAAAUGGCAAAGUCAAAUAUCACCCCUCUUGGUGGGUGAUACUAUAGCCCUCAGUGCAAGACACAAAAUUGCAGCAAGCGAGUACUACUCUGGACUGAGAGGGUCAAGGGAACCAAAUGAGGUUCAAGCAACAAUAAUUGGAGUUGUGAAGCUAUUAGUUUCUCUUUCAUUUUCCUUCAUUCAGAUUCUCAUGGUUCAUGGCUCAUGAUGAAAUUCUGGAUCAUUUUAUAAACGUUCUGGUUUCAAAUCAAAAGUUUUAGAGCUUGUAACAGUUUCAUUAUGCUCUGUAAUUAUUUCUUUAUCGAAUGAUUUUAAUGGCUUGAGGCUGUUUAUGAAGAGUCCUUGAUCUUGUUACUGGAAAAUACAAAUAGAGGUAAAACCUCAGCAAUACAAAUUUUUUUCUAUCAAAGUUUCACCUA
Brassica napus (rape) is the source of this 2703-nucleotide long non-coding RNA. RefSeq lists it as uncharacterized. The record is from RefSeq and is a predicted model, not a curated record. NCBI's taxonomy places the organism in Eukaryota, Viridiplantae, Streptophyta, Magnoliopsida, Brassicales, Brassicaceae. The transcript has 2 exons.